Nicotiana tabacum (common tobacco) is the source of this 641-nucleotide non-coding RNA. NCBI's taxonomy places the organism in Eukaryota, Viridiplantae, Streptophyta, Magnoliopsida, Solanales, Solanaceae. The record is from RefSeq and is a predicted model, not a curated record.
UUAUAUAAUUAACUGAAAUGUAUCUUAUUGUUAGAACAUGUGUAAAAGAAAUGCUGAAAAUCGGAAGAAACAAACAGUUCCACACAACAAACUGUUUGAAGUCUAGACGCAGCAUGGUACACGAGAUAGAUCUUCCAAAGAACAAGGCCUUUUUCGAAUAAGCCAAUUCAUUUGGGACCCUGCAGAUCCACUCUUUUUCCUAUUCAAAGAUCAGCCCCCUGGCUCUGUGUUUUCACAUCGAGAAUUAUUUGCAGAUGAAGAGAUGUCAAAGGGGCUUCUUACUUCCCAAACAGACCCUCCUACACCGGUGACUCCAAACCUAAUUCUAGAAGAAGGGCUGAAAUGAUGACUGAGACAGGGAGAAAACCUGGACGAGCACAACUUUAUCUUGCUACACAUACGAAAAAAGAUAGAUCAUAUGUAAAUGAGGAGACAAAAGAAAUAUGUCCAAGUGAUGCAGUUAGUAGACCCGUUUCACAGACGGAUGCAAGAAGAUCUUCUGGCGCUAGUAAUCUCAUUGACAUCCAUUGAGAUUCAUUUUAAUUGAAGUAGAUGUAUUAGGACAAUGUAAUACCUGACUAAUAUAGACGAUUAACUAUGUUCUAACUUAGUUGAUGACAUAUGAUACUACUCUGUCACAA